RNAcentral lists this ribosomal RNA (641 nucleotides) under Cortinarius violaceus. Its description in RNAcentral is "eukaryotic LSU rRNA". It matches the Rfam family "Eukaryotic large subunit ribosomal RNA", at positions 1 to 623 of the family's 3401-position model. The record is from RNAcentral. Lineage: Eukaryota; Fungi; Basidiomycota; Agaricomycetes; Agaricales; Cortinariaceae.
GUGACCUCAAAUCAGGUAGGACUACCCGCUGAACUUAAGCAUAUCAAUAAGCGGAGGAAAAGAAACUAACAAGGAUUCCCCUAGUAACUGCGAGUGAAGCGGGAAAAGCUCAAAUUUAAAAUCUGUCAGUCUUUUGGCUGUCCGAGUUGUAAUCUAGAGAAGUGUUAUCCGCGCUGGACCGUGUACAAGUCUCCUGGAAUGGAGCGUCGUAGAGGGUGAGAAUCCCGUCUUUGACACGGACUGCCAGGGCUUUGUGAUGCGCUCUCAAAGAGUCGAGUUGUUUGGGAAUGCAGCUCAAAAUGGGUGGUAAAUUCCAUCUAAAGCUAAAUAUUGGCGAGAGACCGAUAGCGAACAAGUACCGUGAGGGAAAGAUGAAAAGAACUUUGGAAAGAGAGUUAAACAGUACGUGAAAUUGCUGAAAGGGAAACGCUUGAAGUCAGUCGCGUUGACCGGGGAUCAACCCUUGCUUUUGCUGGGUGUACUUUCUGGUUGAUGGGUCAGCAUCAAUUUUGACCAUUGGAAAAAGAUUAGGGGAAUGUGGCAUCUUUGGAUGUGUUAUAGCCUCUGGUUGUAUACAAUGGUUGAGAUUGAGGAACUCAGCACGCCGCAAGGCCGGGUUUUUAACCACGUACGUGCUUAGG